RNAcentral lists this ribosomal RNA (383 nucleotides) under uncultured bacterium. RNAcentral's name for it is "bacterial SSU rRNA". It matches the Rfam family "Bacterial small subunit ribosomal RNA", at positions 30 to 416 of the family's 1533-position model. The record is from RNAcentral.
AUUGAACGCUGGCGGCAUGCCUUACACAUGCAAGUCGAACGGUAACGGGCCUUCGGGUGCCGACGAGUGGCGAACGGGUGAGUAAUGUAUCGGAACGUACCUUUCAGUGGGGGAUAACGUAGCGAAAGUUACGCUAAUACCGCAUAUUCUGUGAGCAGGAAAGCAGGGGAUCGCAAGACCUUGCGCUGAUUGAGCGGCCGAUAUCAGAUUAGCUAGUUGGUGAGGUAAAGGCUCACCAAGGCGACGAUCUGUAGCGGGUCUGAGAGGAUGAUCCGCCACACUGGAACUGAGACACGGUCCAGACUCCUACGGGAGGCAGCAGUGGGAAUUUUGGACAAUGGGGGCAACCCUGAUCCAGCCAUGCCGCGUGAGUGAAGAAGGCC